UAUGCUCUCACUGUACAUAAAAGAAAAGAUACCUUCAUCAAGGUACAACACUUACAACACUUAAUGAUAAUCAUAGGGUACAAAUUUAACACUUAACGAUAAGUCUUAGGGUACAAAUAAGCAAUCAGGAAACAAUAUCAGUAUAAAUCGUAAGGAUACAAGCAACAAAGUUACAAUCAUAAGUAGAAGGAGCUGGGUGAUGAGAACAAUGAGAUUAAUAGUAGUGCAGAUUUAGUAAACAGUUUGACAGUGUUGAGGGAAUUAUUUGUUUAGCAGAGUGAUGGCAUUGGGGAAAAACUGUCCUUGUGUCUAGUCGUUCUGCUGUGCAGUGCUCUAUAGCAUCAUUGAGGGUAGGAGUUGAAACAGUUUAUGUCCAGGAUGUGAGGAAUCUGUAAAUAUUUUUACAGCCCUCUUUUUGACUCUGCAGUAUACAAGUCCUCAAUGGAAGGCAGGUUGGUAGCAAUUGUUUUUUCUGCAGUUCUAAUAAGUAAGGUUUGUGAUUACAAAAAAAAUGAGAUUUUGUUGAAUGACUUACUCAAGCCAACCCCCCUUUUUUUCUCUAUCUUUUCAGAGUAAAUUUGAUUUCCAUUCACCACACCCCGUUCCUUCAAAAAACGUUUUCUGCCCAAGCCAAAACUUGCAGGAGAGGGGUCGUUUCGUACUCUGAUUUUUGUUGUUGUUGUUUGUUUUGUUUUUGCAGCAAACUCAGCUGUACCGGGAACGGAAAGGCGAACGAUUUUCCUGCGUGGUACAUAUUUAAAACAAAAAACGUGUUAGCGCAGGCAGAUUGCUUGCCGCUACAAUCUGUUUCAGGGGCUGGAGGCUUUAACUGCGGAUACUGUACUCUGGCUUGGCGGCGGUGGAAAAGAACCUGGGAAGAUACGUCGGCGAUGUACAACGAAGAGCUUUUUUCUCACUUCCUCUACGCUAUUUCUCUUUUGGCUUAACAUUCAGCCGCUUGUGCCUAGUUUUUUUUUUAUUUUUUUGGAGGGGGUGUUUCAAAGUCGGGUCAUUAAAGAAAACGCACAUUUUGAAUCUCGACGCGUAUUUUAUUCCAGGAGCCUACUAUCAUCCUUAUAUCUGAUCCCCUGUUAAAAUGCUUUCUCCCGCCCCACCUUCCUUAGCCCUCUUUUGAGAUCCAGCAGGAUAUGCAACCUUCCGGCCCAAACUGCGCUCAGCCGGCUGAAGAUGGAUCGAAAGGCUGGCUUGCAUUCCUUUAAAAUAUAGGCCAGUCUAGCCCCAACCGGGAUGGAAGGGUCCCUCUGUUUUGCAUCGCAAUUGAAGUGGAAAUGCAAGGGAGGAGGGUUCAAAAGAAAAAGAAAAAAGAAAAAAAAAACAGGCCGGGAGGAAGGAGGGCACAAGUACAAGGAUCAGCUCUUUUAUCCAGGAAUGAUGUCACGUCACCUUGAUUUUACGGACAACUCUCGCUAACCGAUGAGAAGCUCUUGCAAAGCAGACGGGCUCCUCCUCUACCGGCCUUUGCGGGGAGAAGCAAUCGCACUACAUUCCCUGCCCCGACACAAUCGUCCUUCCACAAACUGGGGGCGACUCAAAAGGGCCCUGAUCUACCGAACUGCUCGUUUUUGCAAAGUGGGGGGGGGGGAGUUGUCUGAAACGAUUUUGCCCGGGGUCAACUUUGAGGAGGGGACCAACCUCCACCCCCAGCAGCGGGAGACUACGGGGGUGGCGAAGAGCCUUUUUCAACCUUGGCGUUCUCGUCCCCUGCAAUUGCUUCGGCGAGGACGCGUGGAGAGAAAAUAGUCCCUCCUUCCCAGGCCGGCCAACCGGGGGCCCUUUUCACUCUCUUUCGCAUACUAAGAGAAGCCCCCACCCAUCCCGCGAGGCUCGGUUGGAGAAGUCACGCAGCUGCCAGCCCAACCCCGCAGCUCGCCUACACUCGGGGGCAUUGCAAAGAAUAAUGGGAGCUUUGUGAUGCCAGGUCUUAGCUCUGAUCUCAACAGCCAAACUUAAUGCAAGAGAACAAAGGAACUGAUGCAAGGAAGGUAUUAGAGUGGAGAAAGGAAAAAUAGAGGAUUGUAACUGACAGCUCAUUGCAAAUAGUUUUAGCAGGAAUCCCCACCACAAAGCUUUGAGGAGAGGUGCUAAGGAGCAGAAAUAUCAGGCUUUUGGUUGCCAAUGAAAAAUUAGGAACUGGGGCCCUGCAAGAUUUUCCGGAAAAUCUUGGAUGUUCAUAUGUUUCUUGUAGCGUGUCUCAUUAGGCAUCUCUCAAUUCUACUGUGUUUUCAACUGUUUGUCGUUAAACAUAACUUAGUAGGUUGCUUCAGCUUUGAAUUUUGAUAAGGUUUCUUGCCAAAAAUACCUCUGUUUUGUUCAAUAUUUACAUACAAAUUGUCCCCCCCCCCCAAAAAAAAUGAAGGCGGUCUAAGAAGAAGCAAAUAAGUUCCUUUGUUUGGGGACUUUGUUUUGUUUUCAAAAAAACAGCAGUGCAGCUGUAAUGGUAUGUGGGAAUGACCUUGCAGUCUGGGCAACAAAUAUAACCAACCGUCAGAUAAAAGGCAGCUUAGCCCACAGCAGGAAUGUGGGCAGGGCAAGAAGCUUAGAAGAGACCCUCCCUGAUUUUUUGGGCUGUUAAGGACACAUGGGGAGAGAAGUACUUUCAGAUUUGCAAGGUUCUGUUAAUGUAACAUUUCAAUAAAAUGGAAUCUGGUCAUGUUUGCUGUCUGAUCUACCGAGUACGGCUGACAGCAGCUAUCUUUCUGAAAUUCUGCCAAAUUCUAGUUAGGUUCACUUCUCAGGAAUGUUUUCAGAAGAUGCUGGUCUGUGACUAUAACAAACUUGAAAUAUCCUCAAAAAGAGAGGGUAUUUAUUAUUUUUUAUUACCUAAAGGGUAUAUGCCACCCAUAAUUUUACAAUCGUAAGCAGAUUUUUUAUGUCAGAAGGGGAAUCUUUAAAAAAUCCAUUCAAUUCAAUCAAUAGAUUAGAAAGUAACUACGAAUUUGUAUCUGUGCAUACAUGCACGCUUACUUUUGAACUUCGGUAGAUUCAGCCUUCUUUGAACAAUCUACUAUUUCUUCUGAAUUUAAUUCAGUUGUCUGUAAUUAGAAAAGUAGUCUUUUUAUUUCCAGUGGACAUCAAUGGGAAGCCCAUAUUGAAUAACACGAGCACUUUGAAGUGGUCUGAAAUAAAUUAGGUUGUUUUGCAUGUCACAGAAUACAUUUUCAGCUGAAUGGUGAAAGUGGUGCAUGUUCCUAUUGAAAAAAAAAACAUUACUUUGUCAUGCUCAGAAUCAAAUUAUUUCAUGAAGUACUCAUGGUGCUGAAAAAAAGUAAAAUGGCAUCUUCCAUUCAAAUCUAAUUGCACUGCAAUUGCAAUUCAAGGACACAUCCAUUGAAUUUUAUUGGCGAUGAUUCACCAAUGCCACUUUCCAUUACAUUUUUUAAAUAACCUAUGGUUCUGAAACUCUUUUGUGGUCUCCCAUCCAACUAUUAACAAGACCCAAUCUUGUUUAACUUCUUUCAGCCUAGACAAGGUUAGCCAGAUGCUGCCACCUGGUGAAACACCGAAAACAAAUUCUCACUCAAUUUAAUAAGAAAACAGUAACAAAAUUAAAACAUUACUCUGCCCGGUCAACCUCGUUGUGUUCUGUUUGGGCUCAAAAUAUGUUCUUCUUAUGAAUUUCCAAUCAGUCAUGAACAGAGAAUGUGUACUGUACCAAAACUGCGCAGCUGAACUGCUUUUAUAAAGCUGAUUUGGCCUGAAAUCAAACUAAGGAGUAAGUCAUUUCUAAAAUGAAGCAAUUAUUGCCUCUUCUUUACAGCCAGUUAAAUUCAACAUUUAACCAAUUAAAGAUAUACAUAUUUACACAUACUGUUUCUGG
Long non-coding RNA from Ahaetulla prasina, 3838 nucleotides. RefSeq lists it as uncharacterized. Lineage: Eukaryota; Metazoa; Chordata; Lepidosauria; Squamata; Colubridae. The record is from RefSeq and is a predicted model, not a curated record. The transcript is spliced from 4 exons.